UACGUAGGGUGCGAGCGUUGUCCGGAAUUACUGGGCGUAAAGAGCUCGUAGGUGGUUUGUCGCGUUGUUCGUGAAAACUCACAGCUCAACUGUGGGCGUGCGGGCGAUACGGGCAGACUAGAGUACUGCAGGGGAGACUGGAAUUCCUGGUGUAGCGGUGGAAUGCGCAGAUAUCAGGAGGAACACCGGUGGCGAAGGCGGGUCUCUGGGCAGUAACUGACGCUGAGGAGCGAAAGCGUGAGGAGCGAACAGG
This 253-nucleotide ribosomal RNA is filed under the name uncultured bacterium. Its description in RNAcentral is "partial 16S ribosomal RNA". It matches the Rfam family "Bacterial small subunit ribosomal RNA", at positions 524 to 776 of the family's 1533-position model. The record is from RNAcentral.